RNAcentral lists this small RNA (21 nucleotides) under Bombyx mori (domestic silkworm). RNAcentral describes it as "ovarian small RNA-16775". The record is from RNAcentral. Lineage: Eukaryota; Metazoa; Arthropoda; Insecta; Lepidoptera; Bombycidae.
GCGAAUAGGUCGACAUAAAUU